AGCAGCCGCGGUAAUUCCAGCUCCAAUAGCGUAUAUUAAAGUUGUUGCAGUUAAAAAGCUCGUAGUUGAAUUUCGGGGUUAGUAGGUUGGUCAUGCCUCUGGUAUGUACUGGUCUCACUGAUUCCUCCUUCCUGAUGAGCCGUAAUGCCAUUAAUUUGGUGUUGCGGGGAAUUUGGACUGUUACUUUGAAAAAAUUAGAGUGUUUAAAGCAAGCUAACGCUUGAAUACAUUAGCAUGGAAUAAUGAAAUAGGACCUUCGAUCCUAUUUUGUUGGUUUCUAGGAUUGACGUAAUGAUUAAUAGGGAUAGUUGGGGGCAUUAGUAUUCAAUUGUCAGAGGUGAAAUUCUUGGAUUUAUUGAAGACUAACUACUGCGAAAGCAUUUGCCAAGGAUGUUUUCAUUAAUCAAGAACGAAAGUUAGGGGAUCGAAGACGAUCAGAUACCGUCGUAGUCUUAACCAUAAACUAUGCCGACUAGGGAUCGGAUGAUGUUAAUUUUUUAAUGACUCA
This 508-nucleotide ribosomal RNA is filed under the name uncultured Glomus. Its description in RNAcentral is "SSU rRNA". It matches the Rfam family "Eukaryotic small subunit ribosomal RNA", at positions 569 to 1078 of the family's 1831-position model. The record is from RNAcentral. Lineage: Eukaryota; Fungi; Glomeromycota; Glomeromycetes; Glomerales; Glomeraceae.